AUGCAGCAGCGGCUGUGCUCUGGGCCCAUGCAGGGCAGCAGGGACGGGGCUGAACCCCUGCCGGCAGCCAGACCUCAGAGACCCCCGUGUGGUUCUCAAGCCUGUGUCAGGAGCCUGCCCUCCCGGGCCUCAGCUGCGUCCUGCCCCAUGUUCGUGCUGUCCAGGUGUCAGCAUUUGGCUGACGAGAGCACGGUCCUGACCCCACAGCCGCCUGGUCCUGUACCCCAUCCGAGGUGCUGCACGGCCGCACCAGCCCCAGGAGGGGAGCAGGGCCAGGGGCGCAGGGCCGGGGCUGCAGCCCCAGCAGCCCCUGAUGGGUGUUGGGGCAGCUCCAUGUGCCGUCCCUCAGCCCUUGGCGUGCCAAACCCAGUGCCAGGCCCGAGCUGGUUCAGCAAAUCUCCCCCUCGGGCACUCAGCCCAGUCUUUGCUGGGUGCCAUCAGGAUGAGGCGCUGCAGCCACCGCCCCCCUGGACCCUGCAGGGCCCCAGCCCACAGCACCAUGAGGCACCGAGCCCCACAGCCUCCUCCUGGGGGAUAGAAUUUUCCCACUCCAGCUGGCCUGGGAGAGAUAGAGGAAGAUGUUAUCAGGGCAGAGCAGGCUGCCGAGCCAGAGGCUGGGCUCUAAUUAUUAAGAGCCAAUUCCAUUACAGCAACCUCAGCCCCAGGGCAACGCAGGCCAGACUCUCCCAAGGGGCGAGACCGCAGCAGCAUCCCCUGCAGCCCUGGGGGACAGGAACACCACGUGUGGGUGGCAGCAGCCCCAUGGCAGCCCCCGCACCAUGUGGGGUCCCUGCCCCUGGCUGCCUCUCCCCCCUCAGGUGCUGCUGCCCUGGCACCCUCUGCCCUCCUCCAGCAGGCCCCAGUCCAGCACGGCCAGGAGCAAAAGGCACAGGAAUCGUCCUCCUCCUGCCAGCAGCUGCUGAAACAAGACCUGGAGAGAAGCCAGAACCAUCGGUGUCGCCGCCAGCCCCCAUCCCUAGUGGGGGAGAAGCCCCUGGCUGGGGCUGGCUUCGGGUGCAGGGGUGGGAAGUAGGGGCACAGAGAAGUCCUUUUAAGUCAUCCCAAAAGCAGCAAGAAAACAGGCAACACAUCACCGUCUUAACCAACCUUCUUAUUUCUUUAUUUGAAAGGCACAGCUUGUACGUCCUUGAUACAGCAUUUUCAGUUCCUCUUAUUAUAGGUCAAGUGAUUAAACACAAAAAGCAAAACAAGAUCUUUCUAAAGGACUAUAUACAAACACCAGAUUAUUAUUUAAUUUUAUUUUUUUUUUUCCAUUUUUUUUUUUUUUAG
Molecule: long non-coding RNA, 1290 nt
Filed under: Cairina moschata (Muscovy duck)
Lineage: Eukaryota; Metazoa; Chordata; Aves; Anseriformes; Anatidae
Description: domestica (muscovy Duck (domestic type)) lncRNA (ENSCMMG00000006246.1)
Source: RNAcentral